UUCUUCCCAUUUUCUGUGACUGAAGGGCACCAUGGCACUCUGAGUGGGGCCACACCACAGGCUGUUGGUCUGAGCUCUGAGCUGAGAGUCAAUGCAUUGUGAUGGAACAGAAAAUGAAACUCUCCAGCACAGACCUAAGCAGAGACCUGGCAAGCCUCACUUUCCCUCUCUGUCCUGCUCCCCAGCUGCUGGAGCCCAAGUCCAACAACUAUAAGACCCAGUGAGAGUCCAUCAGAGCAGCACCCCCUUCCGGCUGGGGCAUGAGAUGAGAACUCACAGGCCCACAGUGGCCUGAGGGAGGCACAGGACAGCCAGCAAGUGAAGACCUUGGAGAGCGCUGCUGCUUGUUGACAGUGUGCCUGGGCCACAGCAUGACUUAAGAAAGAGACACAUUUGUCAAAUGCUCUGCUCUGGCCUAGACCAGGCAUGGUUUGUUAAUAAGGGUGGGCUGUCAGGGAAGUCCCUUGAAUGGGGUUUAAAUUUUGCAAAAGAAGGUUGAGCCGUUCAUUCGUGGAGGUUAAAGUGGGUGAAGUGGCUGAUUACCCGUUUGAGACCUUGCAAGUCGGUGAGACCCCUACCUCAGAAGCACUCAGCUUCCAUUCAAGUAAAAUGAGGCUCGGAGAAGGCUGAAGGGGCCUUGAUAACUGUUUACAAGCCCAUUAAGGAAGAUGAGAAGGAGGGCGGAGGGGACAGCUGUCCUUCCUUCUCCAGCAGUGACAGCACCAGAGGGAAUUGUGCUGAACACUCGAAAGGAGAGAUUGAAGUCAGGCUCUGGGAGGGACUUCCUGAAGACUAGCAUGAAGAGCUCAGCAUUUUUCCUAGUGACCAGCCGGAAGAGCUGCUUGUCUUCCAGGCCCCAAGCUGAGCCCAGAGGAUCCAGAAAAAAGUAAGAGUGGCCCCAGGAGGCUUGGAGGAGAGAGAAUCCUCCUCCCCUUUUUCUUGCACAUAUUUGGCUAACUGUCAGAAAGGAAAUCCAGAAGUCUGAAGUCCAGGGCGGAGACCAUUGGUUUCUAACGUUUACCAGGUUUGACCAAAAAAAAAAAAAGUUACCUGAAUGAAAUGAAGGCAGCAAUCGGUGUUUGCUUCCAUUUCUCUCUCAAGGCCUUCAACGCACACGAAUCAACUGUAGCCUGUGUUUACUUUUCCCAUCCUGAUUCAUUUUAAAUUUCGGUGGAGAUCUUCAGGGAGCAGAGUACUAGGGAUUCAUUAUUGUUGAGGGGCUGAACACUGGCUGAGGUGGGAGAUGUUUCGUGCCCUGUAGAAAGCGGAGUCCGCGCCUCAGCAGGCCUGCGUCGAAAACACAUGGGAUUCACAAACAAGAGAUGGCGUUUCUGCUCCUCAGAGUCCUCUUUCAUGUCGGUGGCUCGAUUGUUUGCCUUUUUAUUUAAUGUGUGUAUCGAUGGCUGAGAAAAUUAAAUGACAAAAUGAGUGAACAUUGAAAGUGAUCACUAUUGCAACAUGGUGUUUCUCACUCAAAACUUAGUGUGUUGAGGGGGUUGGUGGCUGCCUUCCAUUCACCCAGUGACACUUAAGGAGCAGCUGCAUGUGCCCGUUGUGGUUACCUUAGCCAACGUGACAGCCCCAGAUCCCUGCCCUUGCAGAGCUUACAUUCUGUCUGCCACAGCUGAGUGUAGGUUACUAAAGAGCUAGCCCAACAGAUUCUAUUUCCAGUUCCAUUUCUUUCUUGGUUCCUUGAGUUUCUCUCUGAAAGAGAGAAAUUAACCCCAGCCUGGAAUCAAACAACAAAAACAGAACUUAGUGGAGAGCCCUUGUCUGAAAGUUGUUGAGAUGCCCAAGUGGGGAUCAUCCCUGGGUGAUAGAGCCAGAGUACUGCUCCUCCACCUCUAGAUGGCAGUCCAGAGCCAGGUGUGACUUCUGUGUGGAAGGUGAGGUCAGUGAGAUAUUUAAUCUAAAAACUAGGGAAAAGAUCAAAUAUCAGGAGACUCAGAUCACUGAGCCCCUCCUGUGUUUCACCUGCAUCAGGAGUAAGAUGGGACUCCUGUUCCAAGGGAGUAAUCCAACUGAUUACUAGAUAACCAGCUCAUGGAAGAGGCAAUCAAGAGCCACCACAGAGGUGCAUGACUGUAGUCCCAGCUACUCAGGAGGCUGAGGCAGGAGGAUUGCUUGGGUCAGGAGUUCAAGACCUAGAAAAUACAGUUAAGACCCUAUAUCAAAACAAAAACCAAUGAACAAACCAAAAAAUCAAACCAAAACAAACCAAAACACCCCAAACAAACAAACCAACGAAACCCCCAUCAACUUUUACCACAUAGACACUUUUUGAGAUCUAAAUGAGAACUGGAAGAAGUAGUGGAACAGUCUUAAUAUAAUGAAGACCUGGAAACUGAAGCGGUCUUAAAAGUGGAGAUGAAAUCAAAGUGGCAUUAUGAACCUGGGCUAAAGCAUUCGGAAUCCUAUCUUCAGUUCAUUUUCAGCCAGUAUUUAACCUGGACUGGCCUCCAGGGGAGGAAUGAGAGACUGAAUAUCCAACUCGACAAUGGCUGGGUCACCUAUAAAAACAGAACUCCAACUCACAGCCGCAGCAACCUGCCCAGGACACUACCUGGCUUAUCUAUAACCAACAACCCAGAAAUCCAGCCAGCUGUGAUUCAGACUUGCAAGAAACCAGAACUCUAGCUCUAAUAACAAUCCAGGAAGCCCAACAACAACCCCUGUAACAAAGGAGCCCAAACAACCAGGACUUGAUGAAUAAUUGAAAGCUUCCCUAUGUUUUGUUCCUAUUUCUAACUUAGAACCAACCAGAGAAAACCAAAGGUACGCCAAUCACCUAGACUGCCGCCUCUAGUUAGUCCACCUAUAGCUUUCCCAGGUCAACAGCUUGGAGUCAACGUGUACCUGGAACCUUCUCAUUUUUUCUACUGUAAAGUUUUACCUCUCUCUGCCUGCCUUUGGGACCCCACUAAAAGACCAUGCAAGCUGACUCCCUCGCUCUAGCAACUUGGAAUAAACAGCCUUUGCUUUUC
Non-coding RNA from Ictidomys tridecemlineatus (thirteen-lined ground squirrel), 2984 nucleotides. The record is from RefSeq and is a predicted model, not a curated record. Lineage: Eukaryota; Metazoa; Chordata; Mammalia; Rodentia; Sciuridae.